This is a long non-coding RNA of Chelonia mydas (Green sea turtle), 1836 nucleotides long. RefSeq lists it as uncharacterized. The record is from RefSeq and is a predicted model, not a curated record. Lineage: Eukaryota; Metazoa; Chordata; Testudines; Cheloniidae. The transcript is spliced from 3 exons.
UUCUGUAGUUGCUCCUUGGGAGACAGGACGGGGGCGCUGCAGAGAUGAGUUGUCUAAAGUUACUCCAUGGGAGGAAGGAGUGAAGAGAUUGGCAAACCCACAGAAGAGGGGAAAACCGGGAGUAUGGAAACAGCUAAGACAAAGAGAGCAAGAAGCAGCAAAUGGACAUUGGAUGCUGUGUAGAGGUUCCCAGAGCCGGAACCCGGAGUAGAGGGUGGGCUUGGGUUUCCCUACCAACCACUGCGGGAGUGGAACUGUGAGGCAGUGAAGCAGAAGACAGUCUGAGACAACUGGAGAGCUGGAACCUUGAUGCACUCUCCCCACCCAGAAGGGGAAACCACAACACUGACCUAGCCAGAGGGCUGAGUCACAAAGAGGAUGCUGUGGUUCCUGGAGCAGAAGAGGGGCUGUAGAGGAGACCCUGAGGUGUCGGCCUGAUUGAGCUAAUCCCCCAGAACUACCAGGAGUGCUGUCCAGAGUGGUUAUCUGGCUGCUGGAAGCUGUCAUUCUUCUUCUUCUUUUUUUUAAAUGAACAGUUUGUAUCAAAGUAUUCUGCUAGAUUACAAAUCAAAUCCCUCCCUUCCUGGUACUGUUGUCCUUAAGGAAGCAAGAAGUUCACCAGACACCAAUUGUUUUAGAUUCAUGCAUGACACCAACACCUGUUUUUGAGCUUCAGCUCCUAGCUCUCUGGCUGAAGGAGGAGUGCAGGACUUUAUGCACUUAGAAGUUGAGGAUGACCUUCUGUUAUGACAUCUUAAUAUGUAAGAUAUUCAAGGUGAUUAUUCACUGGCAUUAUUUCCAAUGUAGUAUCUAUUUUGUUGAUAGAAAAUAAUCUCCAGUAAGAGCAGAAGCUUUGCUGUUGCAUCAGUCCAAAUAAUUAUGGGCUCAAUCCUCAGCUGGUGUAAACAGGCAUAAUCCCCAUUGAAAUGUCUCUGUUAGGCUGUGUACAAGUGAAAUGGAUACUGUGGUCGCUUUUUAGUAAGAUUCUCUUAAAAGCAUAAUGGCACAAUUAAACUUUAUAUUGUUGUCCUGCAUAACCUUGUCAGUAUCUUGUGCACUAUCUCUGCAGAUUUGUACUUGAGUGCUUCACAGGGGAAAAUGCUUUCCAAAUGCAUUUAAUUUCCAGGUUUAUGUGGGUGCCCUUCUACCACCUGCUCAUAUGUAGUUAUGUGGAUAAGCUGCACAAAAUAGCAAUGUGACUUUAAAAGCUGGUUUACAUUCAAGUAUACUGCACUUGUUGUUAUGUAAAUAUAUUUUUCCCCUUUACUGAAUAAGAAACUGAUAAGGCUCAGAGACAAAAAUAGUGAUUUUUCUGAGAGAAGGUAAUCUUGAAGAUUAUGUAACCAUGUACAUGGAGCGGGACACAGGUUUUUGGAAAAGUGCAUUCUGAAACUGAUGUGCAAUCUUUGAGCUUGAUAGAUGUCCACUGAAGUCAAUAGGAAUUUUUCCAUUGACUUCAGUUUAUAUUGGAUCAGGACCUUUGUUUACUGCUGUGGUAAUAGGAGGAGAAAUCAGGCAACAAAUCUGAGGGACCUAUAGCUGGGGAAUUUAUAAAACUACUCAAAGAAGCUUUAAAGAAUUAGCAAAGAGGUCGGUUGACUUCAGUGGGAAAAUGGACAAAAUGUAAUCACAUGUUGAAACAAUUGCCUAUCACCUAACCCAGAGAAGACAAGAAUAGUGUGACAACUUGAAGACAAGACUGGAAACAAUAAACAAACCCAAACAGUUUACUGACACUACUGUACUGUCUUGGUUAAUAUAAGAAAUGGUUUAUAUGUUUUCCCCGUUAUUGCUGUUAAAUUACAUGUACUGUGUUUCAGUUUAGGUUUCCAAGAA